CCGCGCCCCCCGGCGGGCGGAGCCCGGCGCCGCGGCCAGGAUUUCCCACCUCGCUCCCGCGACUCCGCUGCGGGUCUGCACACCCGAGGACUCGGUUUGAAACGCCCGCUUAUUUAUUUUCUUGUCGCCUCGCUACAAGAUUCUAUCCUUGUUUGGGCAUGAGUGGGGGGCGGCAGUCUCGUGGGACCGGCGGCAUUCGUCGUUCCUCCUUACGGGGAUAAUUCGAGAAGUGCGGUCCGGGGGUACUUAACCGAAACUAGCAAUCCCAGGCGGUACAAGGCCCUCCAUCGUAGGCAAAGCACUACCUGAAUGUAGAUUUGGGCCAUACGUUGGAAAAUAAGACAUGAGAGUAUGCUCCGAUCAACUUUUACUGUUCACUGGACAACUAUUUUGGGAAUUUGCAGACCUAUAAAGCCCAUCUAUAAAUCUCAAGCAUGUCCACUUUCAGAGAAGAGAAAUGCUGACAACCAUUUAGUCUCUGAGGACAACACUUUUAAAGUGUAACAAUGUGGCAUCCAGAGCUUAUCCAGAUGAGCGGAGAGCAAAUGAAUUUCCUUCUGCUCCCCUGUUGAAGAGGAGAGAAAAAUUCUUCAAGCUUUAUACAGGACUCCAUCAUAGGACUGGAGAGAGAUUGGAUGUCAGAGUGAUUGAUGUGCUCCUACUGGAAGAAGGCAAACAUCCAUAUGUGAACUGCCUGUGGGGUUUCCAAGGAAAGGAACGGCAGGCAGCCUCUAUGAGCUUAAAGAAGAUAACUGGGACUUUAGUCCUAUAACCUCAAGGAACAGUAUUCUGUGAACCAUCUGAGAAGCUUGGAAGAGGACCCCAAACUCCAAAUAAGAAGCUCAGUGUGUCUGACACCUUGACUGCAGGCUUGGGAGGUCCUGAGCAGAAGAUCCAGUUCAACAGUGCCUGGACUCCUGAUCCACAAAAACUGAUAACAAAUAUUUAUUGUUUUAAGAUGCUAAGUUUGUAGUCAUUUUUUAUACAGCAACAGAAAACUAAACACACACAUAAACAGUUAUAAGUGCUCACUGUAUAUGAGGCUUUUCAUUAAUAAUCUAUAUUUUAUAAUAGAAUUAGAAUAUAGAUCUGUGAAGCUGAAGACACUCAAUCCUUGCUAGAUUUAAAUCAGGAAAAUCAGCUGAGAAUCAUUCCUUGAUAGAACCUGGAAAACAAGACCCUAUGAGAGACCCUGGGAAUUACAUUAAAUUCACUGUGGUUCCCAGUGUCACUGAAGAGGUUUUCCUUUCAUAGUCAGGUAGUCACCAUACUGUUAAGCAUUUGAACACAUGGGCAACUUCCAGAAUAGUUAUGACAUUGAUAUACCAAUCUCCAAAAUUCCUAGAAUACCAUGUUUUCAUGGUUGACCUUCAAAUCAGUCAGUUCUUUGUAACAUUGAGCCAUAAAGAUAGGGCAAAUACUUAAUGUUUUACAUAUAUUCAGAGAUUGACCCUCAAAAUACAGCCCAGAGAAACUCAAAAGAAUUAACUCUAUUUCUUCAAAUUGUGUGACGCCACCAAGGCCAGAUGACUUCAGCAUUGGGAAGGCAAUAUCCAGCUGUCAUCUUCUUGAUCCUCAUAUGCUACUACUAGCAUCUAGCAUUUACUGAGCAGAUAGUUUUAUUGUCCAGUUUUUAAAGAUAAGAAAAUUGAGGUAUUAGGAAAGUUAAGUUGGUUGCCUAGGGAAACACGAAGAUAUAGCCCAGAUUCACUCCCAGGCAGGCAGAUGCCAGUGUCUGCUCUCUUUACCACCGAAAUAUCCUGCUACAUGUACAAUUUCAAUAAAUAUCUGGACUUACUGGAACAAAACAAAUCAACAACAUUCUUAUUUUCUUUCUUCAGUUUAGAUUAAAUAAUUUAAAUGUCUUCUUAAGAAGCUACAGUUUUUUGAGGCACAGAGGGAUAGGAGGGUAGGUCCUACCAGUUGAGUCACUCAGCCCUAUAGUUGUGAAAAUCCUUAAUUUUAAGAAGCAGCAGUAAAGUCUCUACUUCUCAAGCUUGCCAUUAGAUGGUUUUAAAUAAUUGACAGGCUCUG
This 2034-nucleotide long non-coding RNA is filed under the name Homo sapiens (human). RNAcentral's name for it is "HSALNT0335931". The record is from RNAcentral. Lineage: Eukaryota; Metazoa; Chordata; Mammalia; Primates; Hominidae.